This 1605-nucleotide ribosomal RNA is filed under the name Fulvifomes sp. RNAcentral's name for it is "partial large subunit ribosomal RNA". The stretch from base 229 to 1605 matches the Rfam family "Eukaryotic large subunit ribosomal RNA", at positions 1 to 1371 of the family's 3401-position model. The record is from RNAcentral. Lineage: Eukaryota; Fungi; Basidiomycota; Agaricomycetes; Hymenochaetales; Hymenochaetaceae.
AGUGUCGUUGGCGCGCAAUCCAGAAGGUAAGUGACUUCACGUUCCAUCUAAAUUCUGAGUCGGCAAGGACGACAUACGAAUCAGUUACGAGUAGAGAACGCCCCUACUCCAAGAAGGAGAGCCAUCCUCGUCAGUUAUGAUAUGGAAGAAGCGGUAGGUUGUUGGUCGCUCCACGAGACAAUGCCACCUCAAUCUUUAGUGCGGGUAAAUUUUCCAUGAGAAGGGGUGCGAUCCAAAUCUACCUCGGGGCACAUAACGACAGUCAAAUAAGAGGUGGCAUACGAUUCUGACACGUAUCCCCCCUUUUAACUGCGAGUGAAGCGGGAAGAGCUCAAAUUUAAAAUCUGGCGGCUUUCAGUCGUCCGAGUUGUAAUCUGGAGAGGCAUUUUCCGCGUUGGACCGUGUACAAGUCUCCUGGAACGGAGCGUCAUAGAGGGUGAGAAUCCCGUCCAUGACACGGACCGCCAGUGCUCUGUGAUAUGCCUUCGAAGAGUCGCGUUGUUUGGGAAUGCAGCGCAAAAUGGGUGGUAAAUUCCAUCUAAAGCUAAAUAUUGGCGAGAGACCGAUAGCGAACAAGUACCGUGAGGGAAAGAUGAAAAGCACUUUGAAAAGAGAGUUAAACAGUACGUGAAAUUGUUGAAAGGGAAACGCUUGAAGUCAGUCGCGUUCCGUGGAACUCAGCCUUACUUCGGUUUGGUGUACUUUCCAUGUGAACGGGUCAACGUCAAUUUCGGCCGGUGGACAAAGGCAAGGGGAAUGUAGCGUCGCUUCGGUGACGUGUUAUAGCCUCUUGUUGUAUACACCGGCUGGGAUUGAGGACCGCAGCACGCCCUUUGUGGCCGGGAGGUUCGCCUCCACGUACUGUGCUUAGGAUGUUGGCAUAAUGGCUUUAAGCGACCCGUCUUGAAACACGGACCAAGGAGUCUAACAUGCUUGCGAGUGUUCGGGUGGAAAACCCUUGCGCGCAAUGAAAGUGAAAGUUAGGAGCCCUUCUCUCUGUGGAGGGGUGCACUGACGCCCGGCCCUGAAGUUCUCUGACGGUGCUGCGGUAGAGCAAGUACGUUGGGACCCGAAAGAUGGUGAACUAUGCCUGAAUAGGGCGAAGCCAGAGGAAACUCUGGUGGAGGCUCGUAGCGAUUCUGACGUGCAAAUCGAUCGUCAAAUUUGGGUAUAGGGGCGAAAGACUAAUCGAACCAUCUAGUAGCUGGUUCCUGCCGAAGUUUCCCUCAGGAUAGCAGAGACUCGUAUCAGAUUUAUGUGGUAAAGCGAAUGAUUAGAGGCCUUGGGGUUGAAACAACCUUAACCUAUUCUCAACUUUAAAUAUGUAAGAACGGGCCGUCUCUUGGUUGGACCGCUCGACGAUUGAAAGUCUCUAGUGGGCCAUUUUUGGUAAGCAAACUGGCCAUGCGGAUGAACCGACGCAAGGUUAAGUGCCGAAUGCAGCUCAUCAAACCCCAAAAGGGUUAUUCAUCUAAACGCAGGACGUGGCCAGGAAUCGGAUCCGCUAAGAAUUGUAACACUCACUGCCGAUGACUACCCUGAAAAGGAGGGCCCAGCGGUACCCAACUCCCCUCCCCUUAAUGACCCGGAAAAAAGCCGCUGGAG